GUGUCAGCCGCCGCGGUAAGACAGAGGAGGCGAGCGUUGCUCGGAAUUACUGGGCUUAAAGCGGGUGUAGGCGGCCGCGCAAGUGUCGUGUGAAAGCCCACGGCUCAACCGUGGAACAGCACGGCAAACUGCGUGGCUUGAGGUCGGCAGAGGUGGCUGGAAUUCUCGGUGGAGCGGUGAAAUGCGUAGAUAUCGGGAGGAACACCAGUGGCGAAGGCGGCCGACUGGAACUGACCUGACGCUGAGGGACGAAAGCCAGGGGAGCGAACCGGAUUAGAUACCCGGGUAGUCCUGGCCGUAAACGAUGGAUGCUAGAUGUGGGCGGGGAGACCCGUCCGUGUCGCAAGCUAACGCGUUAAGCAUCCCGCCUGGGGAGUACGGCCGCAAGGUUGAAACUUAAAUGAAUUGACGGGG
This 414-nucleotide ribosomal RNA is filed under the name uncultured prokaryote. RNAcentral's name for it is "bacterial SSU rRNA". It matches the Rfam family "Bacterial small subunit ribosomal RNA", at positions 505 to 918 of the family's 1533-position model. The record is from RNAcentral.